CAGUCGAGCGAGCUUGCCUAGAUGAUUUUAGUGCUUGCACUAAAUGAAACUAGAUACAAGCGAGCGGCGGACGGGUGAGUAACACGUGGGUAACCUGCCCAAGAGACUGGGAUAACACCUGGAAACAGAUGCUAAUACCGGAUAACAACCCUAGACGCAUGUCUAGAGUUUGAAAGAUGGUUCUGCUAUCACUCUUGGAUGGACCUGCGGUGCAUUAGCUAGUUGGUAAGGUAACGGCUUACCAAGGCAAUGAUGCAUAGCCGAGUUGAGAGACUGAUCGGCCACAUUGGGACUGAGACACGGCCCAAACUCCUACGGGAGGCAGCAGUAGGAAAUCUUCCACAAUGGACGAAAGUCUGAUGGAGCAACGCCGCGUGAGUGAAGAAGGGUUUCGGCUCGUAAAGCUCUGUUGGUAGUGAAGAAAGAUAGAGGUAGUAACUGGCCUUUAUUUGACGGUAAUUACUUAGAAAGUCACGGCUAACUACGUGCCAGCAGCCGCGGUAAUACGUAGGUGGCAAGCGUUGUCCGGAUUUAUUGGGCGUAAAGCGAGUGCAGGCGGUUCAAUAAGUCUGAUGUGAAAGCCUUCGGCUCAACCGGAGAAUUGCAUCAGAAACUGUUGAACUUGAGUGCAGAAGAGGAGAGUGGAACUCCAUGUGUAGCGGUGGAAUGCGUAGAUAUAUGGAAGAACACCAGUGGCGAAGGCGGCUCUCUGGUCUGCAACUGACGCU
RNAcentral lists this ribosomal RNA (728 nucleotides) under uncultured bacterium. RNAcentral's name for it is "bacterial SSU rRNA". It matches the Rfam family "Bacterial small subunit ribosomal RNA", at positions 59 to 747 of the family's 1533-position model. The record is from RNAcentral.